CAGCAGCCGCGGUAAUACAGAGGUCUCAAGCGUUGUUCGGAAUCACUGGGCGUAAAGCGUGCGUAGGCUGUUUCGUAAGGCGUGUGUGAAAGGCGCGGGCUCAACCCGCGGACGGCACAUGAUACUGCGAGACUAGAGUAAUGGAGGGGGAACCGGAAUUCUCGGUGUAGCAGUGAAACGCGUAGAUAUCGAGAGGAACACUCGUGGCGAAGGCGGGUUCCUGGACAUUAACUGACGCUGAGGCACGAAGGCCAGGGGAGCGAAAGGGAUUAGAUACCCCUGUAGUCCUGGCAGUAAACGGUGCACGCUUGGUGUGCGGGGAAUCGACCCCCUGCGUGCCGGAGCUAACGCGUAGGCGUGCCGCCUGGGGAGU
Molecule: ribosomal RNA, 373 nt
Filed under: uncultured bacterium
Lineage: Bacteria
Description: bacterial SSU rRNA
Rfam family: Bacterial small subunit ribosomal RNA
Source: RNAcentral